Molecule: RNA transcript, 3298 nt
Organism: Alexandromys fortis (reed vole)
Lineage: Eukaryota; Metazoa; Chordata; Mammalia; Rodentia; Cricetidae
Gene: Nup42
Gene name: nucleoporin 42
Exons: 9
Source: RefSeq, a predicted model, not a curated record
GCGGGGGGAUGACGUCACACUAGCGACGGGACUUCGGUUGUUGGAAACUGGGCCGUCUUUGCUGACCUGAAGACCUCGGGCUGGGACGGCGCUACGAUGACCAUUUGCCAGUUUUUCCUUCAAGGCCGGUGCCGCUUCGGAGACCGCUGCUGGAACGAGCAUCCCGGCACCCGGGGUGCGGGCGGAGCCCGGCAGCCGCCACCACAGCAGCCGCCGCCGCCCUCAGGGAGUAACAGGCGUGGUGGGUGGAAUGCCAGCAGCCAGAGAUACUCCAGUGUCAUCCAGCCAUCCAGUUUCUCCAAGUCUACACCAUGGGGUGGCAGCAGAGAUCAAGACAAACCAAUAUUUGGCUCUUUUGAUUCUGGGGCUUCCACCAGCAGAGGCUUUGGAUCAUCUCAAAAUCCUUUUGCUUCACUUAUCUCUGAAGAGCAGAAAGAUGAAAAGAAACUGCUGGAAGGGAUUGUUAAAGAUGUAGAGAUUUGGGAAUCAUCGGGGCAGUGGAUGUUCUCUGUUUACUCACCAGUGAAAAAGAAACCUAACAUUUCAGGUUUCACAGAUAUUUCACCAGAAGAGUUGAGGCUUGAAUACCAUAACUUCUUAACCAGCAAUAACUUACAGAGCUAUCUAAAUUCUGUUCAACAGCUAGUAAGUCAAUGGAAGAAUAGGAUAAAUGAACUGAAAAAUCUAAAUAUGUCAACCAAAGGAACUCUGCUCUCUGAUGUAAAGGGUGGAGCCAGUCAAGCAGCGCCUGCAUUUGGGUUUGGAAGUAAGCAAGCAGGGACGUUUGGGUCAUCAGGUUUUCCAGUGAAUAGCAGCAGCAGUAAUGUUCAGAACUUUAGUUUUAAAACGAACUCUGGAUUUGCCACUGCCCCUUCUGGAAGCACACCUGUGUUUGGGAGUCCCUCGGCCUUUGGGGCCGGGCCCUCUGCUGGUUCUACCAUCGCUUCCUCCACUCCAGCCUUUGGGUUUGGGAAGCCUGAAGCCACAUCUGCUGUUCCAUUUUCCUUCAAGAGCCCUGAUGCUUCCGGUUUUGGAUCACCUGGAUUUUCAGGGUUUCCAGCUUCCUUGGCAGGGAGUCCUUUCAGCCCUGCAGUGGCCCCUGCCUUCGGAAGUGGCAGUUCUGUGGCUGGUUUUGGUAGUCCUGGCCCACAGUCUCAAUCUGUAUUUGGCAAACCUUCUAAUGACUUGUUUGGAGGUAGCAGCAUAUCAGCCUCCUUCCCCGUCUCGGCCACAAAUAAUGCACUGUUCACACCCAGGGAUCAGCUGACUAAAGAGGAGCUGGACCAGUUCCAGUCCCAGAAAUUUACUCUGGGGAAAAUCCCACUGAAGCCACCACCUGUGGAACUUCUGACUGUAUAAAGGGCACUUUCAACUACAGACGGCUUUAGCCAGGCAUAUGGUGCUUGCCUAUAGUCUGGGAGACUGAGAGAAGGGAUGCCACAAACUCAGGGCCAGCCUGAACUGCACAGAAUGAGGACCAAGUCCUCCUGCCCGUCCAUGCAGAGGAAGGAGAACAUGAGAAUGCCAAAGAUUGAGUGGAGUCAUGGGCGCAGGGAGCUCACACAGCAGGGUGAGUGUGUCUUUGGUGUGAUGCUGGCUGGAGGCCAGCGCUGGGCCAUGUAACUACUCCACGUCUCAGAGCCAGCUUCUAAACAAAGGGACACUUGUACGUGUGAAGACUGGGUUUGAGGUGUAAAGCUAGCCGGUGGCAGGAGCUGGGUGGCGGAAUGCAACCCGCAGCUCCUACUACAGAAAAGAAAAGAGAAGAAGAGAAGAGAAAAGAAAAAAAGAAAAAAAAAGAACCAAAGAGAAAGACACCUAAAUUAAUAAAGUGUCCUUCUGGGUGUGCUGAAGGGCGUUUUCAAGAGAGAAUUAACUAAGGUGGGGGGUCAGGGUAUGAGGGGAAAGGGAGAAAGAGUGCUGUGUUCUAUGUCUCUGUCUCUCUCCCUCUGCCCACCUUCUCUCCUUUCCCUCCCUCCCUCCCUCCCAGCUGUCAAAGGUGUGAGCUGCCCUGCCACUCCCUCCCCACCAGGAUGGCCUGAAAACUGGAAGCUGUGAAGCAGUCACGAGGUAGCCAGCACUGCGUGGGUGCUGCUCUGGGCACCUCAGAACUAGAGAGGAACCCUGCCAGACAGCACUGCCAACGCCCAGAGUCGCCUCUGCUCUCCGGGCCAGUUUUAUGGUGUUUGAUGCUACUGAACCUACAAGCCCAGCACCAGCCCAGAGAUGAAUUUCACAAGACAGGCCAGGGAAGGGAAACUUUACAGGGAGAAGCACCACCUUAUGCCACUGGGUGAUAGGGAAGACGGUCGGCCUUGGCUCUAGAACUCCAGCUUUCUAAGUGGCCACAGAGCUUCUAACUAGCCAAAGCUAAGAUGGAAAUAAACUGUCACAGGGAGGAAAACUCAGGAGGGGAGAAAGACUGCCGGGAUGAUUCUGCCGCCUGGCCUCAGGUAUUUCUUUGGGUAGAGACCCCACCCAUGGUCUUGCCACCUCCUGCUCCAGUCUCAGUGCUUGCCCAGCCCCGCCAUCUCCAGGCUGGUCCUCACCCAUGCUCACACCUGUCAGCGGCAGUCCCUCUUCCCAAGCCUCCCACAAAAUGUCCACUCAGGCUGCAGGAUCUCCUUCCAGAAGAGACCAGUGCCAGUCUCGUGGUCCAGAGCGUACCUUUGUUCUGCUUCUGUCAAGGCUCACACUUGUCACGAGUGAAACCCCACCAGAGCCAGCAUAUCUCUAUCUCCAGUGUGUCCCCUGGAGCCCUGCAGCCUGGGUGGCUGCUGACUAGUCUGACACCAGCGACGAGGCAGCUUUUCCCAGCACCCCAAUAUAAGGAAACAGCAGCCAUGGUUGUCACACUUUCUCAUGGAGUCUGUUUCGCUGAUACUUUUUAUUAAAUUUACUUUUUGUGUUUUACCUGCCUAUAUUUAUGUGUACUGAUAUAUACAUCCAUAUGUAUUUUUCACCACAUAUGCAUGUGUAAUGUGUGCUUGGUGCCCAUGGAAGUCAGAAGAGGGCAUCACACGCCCCCCCCCACCCCAGCAACCGGAGCUAGAGGUGGCUGUGAGCUGCCAUGUGAGUACUGGGAAUCGGUCCUAGGCCCUCUGCAAGAACAAGUGUUCUGACUGCUGACCCUUCACUCAAACUCCAUUUGUUAAUUUUUUUAUUAUUUUGUAUGUACAGGUGUUUUGCCUGCAUAUAAGGCUAUGCGCUGUGUGUAUGCAGUGCCCUAGGAGACCAGAAGGCAUCGGAUCCACUGGGACUUUAUUGCAGAUGGUUAUAAGCUGCCAUAGACUGUAGG